RNAcentral lists this ribosomal RNA (789 nucleotides) under uncultured bacterium. Its description in RNAcentral is "bacterial SSU rRNA". It matches the Rfam family "Bacterial small subunit ribosomal RNA", at positions 8 to 796 of the family's 1533-position model. The record is from RNAcentral.
AGAGUUUGAUCCUGGCUCAGGAUGAACGCUAGCGGGAGGCCUAACACAUGCAAGUCGAACGGGAUUGAGAGCUUGCUCUCAUGAGAGUGGCGCACGGGUGAGUAACGCGUAUGCAACCUGCCUGUAACAGAGGGAUAGCCCAUAGAAAUGUGGAUUAAUACCUCAUAGUCCUGAGAAGUCGCAUGAUUUUUCAGGUAAAACUCCGGUGGUUACAGAUGGGCAUGCGUGACAUUAGCUAGUUGGUAAGGUAACGGCUUACCAAGGCAACGAUGUCUAGGGGUUCUGAGAGGAUGAUCCCCCACACUGGUACUGAGACACGGACCAGACUCCUACGGGAGGCAGCAGUGAGGAAUAUUGGUCAAUGGGCGCAAGCCUGAACCAGCCAUCCCGCGUGCAGGAUGACGGCCCUAUGGGUUGUAAACUGCUUUUAUACAGGAAGAAAAAUCUCUACGAGUAGAGACUUGCCGGUACUGUAUGAAUAAGCAUCGGCUAACUCCGUGCCAGCAGCCGCGGUAAUACGGAGGAUGCAAGCGUUAUCCGGAUUCAUUGGGUUUAAAGGGUGCGUAGGCGGCUUUUUAAGUCAGUGGUGAAAUCUUGCCGCUUAACGGUAAAAUUGCCAUUGAUACUGAAGAGCUUGAGUACAAUUGAGGUAAGCGGAAUGUGUAGUGUAGCGGUGAAAUGCUUAGAUAUUACACAGAACACCAAUUGCGAAGGCAGCUUACUAAACUGUCACUGACGCUGAUGCACGAAAGCGUGGGGAGCGAACAGGAUUAGAUACCCUGGUAGUCC